Non-coding RNA from Oncorhynchus mykiss (rainbow trout), 1173 nucleotides. The record is from RefSeq and is a predicted model, not a curated record. NCBI's taxonomy places the organism in Eukaryota, Metazoa, Chordata, Actinopteri, Salmoniformes, Salmonidae.
UCCUGGAGAUCUACCCCACCCUGUUCCUGGAGAUCUACCCCACCCUGUUCCUGGAGAUCUACCCUCCUGUACUGUAGGGUUAGUCCAACCAUAACCUAACGAAUCUGAUUCAGCUAGACAAGGGUUGUUUCCCUGCUUAGAUGUUGCUGACACAUUCGAGAUCUUACGCCUGGAUAGAUAUUUUACCUAUCAGCUAAACACAUAAUGUUACAGCAAUCUGGUGUCUGACUGCACUGUCGAUGACAUGGCACAACCAUUGGUUGAUGAAUGCAAAGUCCGAGUAGGGGAACACAACCAAGGUCAGGGUCAGCUAAUAAAGGUCAGCUAAUAAAGGUCAGGGUCAGCUAAUAAAGGUCAGGGUCAGCUAAUAAAGGUCAGCUAAUAAAGGUCAGGGUCAGCUAAUAAAGGUCAGGGUCAGCUAAUAAAGGUCAGCUAAUAAAGGUCAGCUAAUAAAGGUCAGCUAAUAAAGGUCAGGGUCAGCUAAUAAAGGUCAGCUAAUAAAGGUCAGCUAAUAAAGGUCAGGGUCAGCUAAUAAGGGUCAGCUAAUAAAGGACAGGGUCAGCUAAUAAGGGUCAGCUAAUAAAGGUCAGGGUCAGCUAAUAAAGGUCAGCUAAUAAAGGUCAGGGUCAGCUAAUAAGGGUCAGCUAAUAAAGGUCAGGGUCAGCUAAUAAAGGUCAGCUAAUAAAGGUCAGGGUCAGCUAAUAAAGGUCUGGGUCAGCUAAUAAAGGUCAGCUAAUAAAGGUCAGGGUCAGCUAAUAAAGGUCAGGGUCAGCUAAUAAAGGUCAGCUAAUAAAGGUCAGGGUCAGCUAAUAAAGGUCAGGGUCAGCUAAUAAAGGUCAGCUAAUAAAGGUCAGGGUCAGCUAAUAAAGGUCAGCUAAUAAAGGUCAGGGUCAGCUAAUAAGGGUCAGCUAAUAAAGGUCAGGGUCAGCUAAUAAAGGUCAGGGUCAGCUAAUAAAGGUCAGCUAACAAAGGUCAGGGUCAGCUAAUAAAGGUCAGGGUCAGCUAAUAAAGGCCAGGGUCAGAUAAUAAAGGUCAGCUAAUAAAGGCCAGGGUCAGGUAAUAAAGGUCAGCUAAUAAAGGUCAGGGUCAGCUAAUAAAGGUCAGCUAAUAAAGGCCAGGGUCAGCUAAUAAAGGUCAGGGUCAGCUAAUAAAGGUCAGCUAAUAAAGGUCAGG